GUGGGGUGAUGGCCUACCAAGGCGACGACGGGUAGCCGGCCUGAGAGGGCGAUCGGCCACACUGGGACUGAGACACGGCCCAGACUCCUACGGGAGGCAGCAGUGGGGAAUAUUGCGCAAUGGGCGAAAGCCUGACGCAGCGACGCCGCGUGAGGGAUGACGGCCUUCGGGUUGUAAACCUCUUUCAGCAGGGACGAAGCGAGAGUGACGGUACCUGCAGAAGAAGCACCGGCCAACUACGUGCCAGCAGCCGCGGUAAUACGUAGGGUGCAAGCGUUGUCCGGAAUUAUUGGGCGUAAAGAGCUCGUAGGCGGCCUGUCGCGUCGGCUGUGAAAACCCGGGGCUCAACCCCGGGCCUGCAGUCGAUACGGGCAGGCUAGAGUCCGGUAGGGGAGACUGGAAUUCCUGGUGUAGCGGUGAAAUGCGCAGAUAUCAGGAGGAACACCGGUGGCGAAGGCGGGUCUCUGGGCCGGAACUGACGCUAAGGAGCGAAAGCGUGGGGAGCGAACAGGAUUAGAUACCCUGGUAGUCCACGCCGUAAACGUUGGGCGCUAGGUGUGGGGGACCUUCCACGGCCUCCGUGCCGCAGCUAACGC
RNAcentral lists this ribosomal RNA (596 nucleotides) under uncultured Frankia sp. RNAcentral describes it as "bacterial SSU rRNA". It matches the Rfam family "Bacterial small subunit ribosomal RNA", at positions 252 to 858 of the family's 1533-position model. Lineage: Bacteria; Bacillati; Actinomycetota; Actinomycetes; Frankiales; Frankiaceae. The record is from RNAcentral.